RNAcentral lists this ribosomal RNA (429 nucleotides) under Bacillota bacterium. RNAcentral describes it as "Firmicutes bacterium partial 16S ribosomal RNA". It matches the Rfam family "Bacterial small subunit ribosomal RNA", at positions 355 to 776 of the family's 1533-position model. Lineage: Bacteria; Bacillati; Bacillota. The record is from RNAcentral.
UAGGGAAUCUUCGGCAAUGGACGGAAGUCUGACCGAGCAACGCCGCGUGAGUGAAGAAGGUUUUCGGAUCGUAAAGCUCUGUUGGUAGAGAAGAACGUUGGUAGGAGUGGAAAAUCUACCAAGUGACGGUAACUAACCAGAAAGGGACGGCUAACUACGUGCCAGCAGCUGCGGUAAUACGAAGGUCCCGAGUGUUGUCCGGAUUUAUUGGGCGUAAAGCGAGCGCAGGCGGUUCUUUAAGUCUGAAGUUAAAGGCAGUGGCUUAACCAGUGUACGCUUUGGAAACUGGAGGACUUGAGUGCAGAAGGGGAGAGUGGAAUUCCAUGUGUAGCGGUGAAAUGCGUAGAUAUAUGGAGGAACACCGGUGGCGAAAGCGGCUCUCUGGUCUGUAACUGACGCUGAGGCUCGAAAGCGUGGGGAGCAAACAGG